Non-coding RNA from Myotis brandtii (Brandt's bat), 81 nucleotides. The record is from Rfam. NCBI's taxonomy places the organism in Eukaryota, Metazoa, Chordata, Mammalia, Chiroptera, Vespertilionidae.
AAGCCUGGAAAGAGAAGCAGGGUCUGAACCGUAGCCUCCAUGGCAGCUGUUGAUCAGCACUUGCCUCUCUCUUUCUCUCCG